Molecule: ribosomal RNA, 481 nt
Filed under: uncultured bacterium
Lineage: Bacteria
Description: partial 16S ribosomal RNA
Rfam family: Bacterial small subunit ribosomal RNA
Source: RNAcentral
GAUGAACGCUGGCGGCGUGCUUAACACAUGCAAGUCGAACGAAGCAUUUAAGACAGAUUACUUCGGUUUGAAGUCUUUUAUGACUGAGUGGCGGACGGGUGAGUAACUCGUGGGUAACCUGCCUCAUACAGGGGGAUAGCAGCUGGAAACGGCUGGUAAUACCGCAUAAGCGCACAGUACCACAUGGUACAGUGUGAAAAACUCCGGUGGUAUGAGAUGGACCCGCGUCUGAUUAGCUAGUUGGCGGGGUAACGGCCCACCAAGGCGACGAUCAGUAGCCGACCUGAGAGGGUGACCGGCCACAUUGGGACUGAGACACGGCCCAGACUCCUACGGGAGGCAGCAGUGGGGAAUAUUGCACAAUGGAGGAAACUCUGAUGCAGCGACGCCGCGUGAGUGAAGAAGUAGUUCGCUAUGUAAAGCUCUAUCAGCAGGGAAGAUAGUGACGGUACCUGACGAAGAAGCUCCGGCUAAAUACGUG